This is a long non-coding RNA of Dermochelys coriacea (leatherback sea turtle), 2135 nucleotides long. RefSeq lists it as uncharacterized. The transcript has 4 exons. The record is from RefSeq and is a predicted model, not a curated record. Lineage: Eukaryota; Metazoa; Chordata; Testudines; Dermochelyidae.
AGAUUAGUUUAUUUUUAUUUAUAGCAAUGAUCUGCAACUAAUUAAAACAAUUAUUUUUAAUACUCCAGGUAUGAAGAAAACAAUCUUCAAGUUAAUGCAAUUUAAACACACAGUGAUAUGGCCAUGACAAAAUAUGUACUUAUAAUAGACUUUAACUAGCAGUUUCAAUUUGAGUGCUGAGCCUUCAGGUCGCCAUCCUCCACCCAAAAAUUGACUAUUUCAGUAGUGACAUACAUGAUGAAAAUAAAUCUUUUUGAAAUGCUACCUGUAAUUGGUGCAUCAGGUCGAGACUGCUCUUUUCUCCACGCAGAACAGUUCUGAAUACUUUCUGCCAAGUCUUUUUCAAUCAGUCCUACAAAGUACUGAGCUAGAACGCUGCAUCGCAUCUUCUCAGCAACACAGGAUACUGCGAGUAUGUCAAACCUGUCCUCUGCUCUCUAUUCUGGUUUCCCAUAGAAUUUAGAAUCAAGUUCAAAGUCUUGGUCCUUAUCUUCAAAGUGCUGCAUGGGCUGGGCCCAGGAUAUCUAAAAGACCAUCUAAAGCUCUAGGACAAAGACCAUAGUCAACAACUACAUUCCUCUGGCACAAUGGAACUCUCAAUAUGAAGAAUAAAGCUUGUCUGUGUGGGAGCGAACUUUUUUUGGGGACAGUCUGAGACUGUUGAAUGAACUCUUCCAAGAAUUAAGGGCUGUCACAAACCUUACCACUUUCUGCUCCAAGUGCAAGGUCCAUUUCUUUAACCUUGCCUUUUCUAACACAAAGCAACAGGUAGUAGUUGGGUUUUUUUUUAAAUAGAUAUAACAAAACAAAACACCCCACGGCACACACUUCUCCCCGGGGAGAGGAUUAAAGAACACACACAUGACAGAUGCCUAGUCACACUGCUUAAUGCACUACUGGAAGGUGCACAGAUUCUAUGGUGAUUAGCACAGUAAAAGAACCUAAACAGAAUAGCCAGGCAGAAAAAUGCAUAUACUUCCUUUAGAGAAUCUCUACAAAUCAAUCCCUCUCUCACUUUCUUUCCCUCUUCCCCACUCUAUGCAGCUUGAAGGGGGCACUAUUAUAUGUAUUCCGGUACCUCUCACAAUGUGCAAAGUGCUGUUAGAAAAAACAGGAAGAUACACUCCCUGUCCCAAAGACCUUACAAUCUAAGGGCUUAAUUCUCAAAAUACUCAAGCACAUAAAUAACUUCACUACAUACUGACUCCAGUUUAGUAACUUGAAAUGUAGACAUGAAAUGUUGUUUUCUCCUACAGUACUGUACUUGUUUUGGGUGGGAAAGUCACACUGACUUUCACUGGGACUUGUGCUUUUAAGUCACAUAGGCACUUUUUAAAUCCCUACUCUUUAUUCCUAAUUCUCAUAGGCUGUAGUCAAUAAAUAAAUAAAAUAAAAAAAUGAUGGGUUCAGGGGACUGAAAGUGCAAUAGGGAGCCUUUCACUUUUAGAUUUUUUUUUAAUACAAACCAUUACUUAGUUUGCCAUGCCUGUUCAAUUGCCUGCAAGAGGUGAGUUUAUGGUACUUAUCCAGUUCCUAGUGACUACAUCACAUCACAAAAGAUAUCAUCACAACUGGCUUCCUUGUUGGCAAUCUGUUCAGAUUCUCCAAGGAAUGAAAGGGCCAAGGAAACUGAUGUACCCUCUUAUCUCAAGAAUAUAUUUCCUUUCUCAACACAAAGUCAGGGCUAGGAUACAUUGACAGAAUGGUCAGAGAGAAGCUUGCACUGCUACCGCCCAUGCUGCAGCUCUCCAGUAUUUUUUACAAAUACUAAAUUCACUUUAAAGGAAGAACAAAAUCUAAUAAAAUAAUUAAAAAUGAAAGGGGGGAAAUCCUUUGCGUUUUAUUUGAGGCAAGUGUUAUAUAGUGUAUAUCUUUCUCUGUGGCCAUCUUUCAUCAAUUUAAAAUGGUUUUGGAAAGGCUGUUUCUAAAAAUAUGGAUAGGUUAUCCUCAAUACUCUAUUUCCAUACACAAUACUUGUCCUUUUCUUACAAUACAAUACUAGCUGUCAUCUAUGGCCCCCAACUAAAACCUCUCCAGCGCAUCAUCAAGGAUCUACAACCUAUCCUGAAGGAAGAGCCCUUACUCUCACACACCUUGGGAGACAGGCCAGUCCUCACUUAUAGACAGCCCCCCAA